AUUGAACGCUGGCGGCAGGCCUAACACAUGCAAGUCGAGCGGAUGAAGGGAGCUUGCUCCUGGAUUCAGCGGCGGACGGGUGAGUAAUGCCUAGGAAUCUGCCUGGUAGUGGGGGAUAACGUCCGGAAACGGGCGCUAAUACCGCAUACGUCCUGAGGGAGAAAGUGGGGGAGCUUCGGACCUCACGCUAUCAGAUGAGCCUAGGUCGGAUUAGCUAGUUGGUGGGGUAAAGGCCUACCAAGGCGACGAUCCGUAACUGGUCUGAGAGGAUGAGCAGUCACACUGGAACUGAGACACGGUCCAGACUCCUAAGGGAGGCAGCAGUGGGGAAUAUUGGACAAUGGGCGAAAGCCUGAUCCAGCCAUGCCGCGUGUGUGAAGAAGGUCUUCGGAUUGUAAAGCACUUUAAGUUGGGAGGAAGGGCAGUAAGUUAAUACCUUGCUGUUUUGACGUUACCAACAGAAUAAGCACCGGCUAACUUCGUG
Molecule: ribosomal RNA, 484 nt
Filed under: uncultured bacterium
Lineage: Bacteria
Description: partial 16S ribosomal RNA
Rfam family: Bacterial small subunit ribosomal RNA
Source: RNAcentral